Non-coding RNA from Misgurnus anguillicaudatus (oriental weatherfish), 979 nucleotides. Lineage: Eukaryota; Metazoa; Chordata; Actinopteri; Cypriniformes; Cobitidae. The record is from RefSeq and is a predicted model, not a curated record.
UCCUCUGAUAUUCACUCUCUUUCUCUCUCUCUCCACAGACAGCAGCUGGGACACAAGACACAGUUAGUUCACUUGACUUCCUCACCUCUUCGCUGGUUACAGCCUACGGUAAGUAUGAGGUUCACACUGUUCGUUUCUCUGGUAUUCACUCUCUUUCUCUCUCUCUCCACAGACAGCAGCUGGGACACAAGACACAGUUAGUUCACUUGACCUUCUCACCUCUUCGCUGGUUACAGCCUACGGUAAGUAUGAGGUUCACAACGUUCGUUUCUCUGGUAUUCACUCUCUUUCUCUCUCUCUCCACAGGCAGCAGCUGGGACACAAGACACAGUUAGUUCACUUGACUUUCUCACCUCCUCGCUGGUUAAAGCCUACGGUAAGUAUGAGGUUCACAACGUUCGUUCCUCGGGUAUGCACUCUCUUUCUUUCUCUCUCCACAGGCAGCAGCUGGGACACAAGACACAGUUAGUUCACUUGACUUUCUCACCUCUUUGCUGGUUACAGCCUACGGUAAGUAUGAGGUUCACAACGUUCGUUUCUCUGGUAUUCACUCUCUUUCUCUUUCUCUCCACAGGCAGCAGCUGGGUGCGGCGCCCUCCUGUUUCGGUCAGAUCUAUAGAUAGAUUUCUGGCGACGUCGGGGGCAACCCUCACGACGAGCUCGUUGGUCACAGGGGGGUGGACACGUCACGUCGUCUCACCAGGCCGAGCGCUGCCCUUCUCUGUCUGCCGUCUCGGCGAUCGUAUCCCGAGCAGGGGCGCCCCUUUGUAGAGACCCGGGACGGCGGAGUGCCUACACCUCACUCUCUGCAACAAGUGUACGGAGGCGGGGGUUUGUCUGACAAGACACACAGCAAUACACAGCAGUACACAGCAGUACACAGCACCACGUCAAAAGUGUAUGUUUCCACGACACAAAGACUCACCCACCACGCUCAAGUGUACAUAAAGGACGCCCGUCUCUUUACACGCUGCCCAGG